UGGGGAAUCUUGGACAAUGGACGCAAGUCUGAUCCAGCGAUGCCGCGUGAGUGAAGAAAGCCUUCGGGUCGUAAAGCUCUUUUACUUGGGAAGAAAAGCAGAUGGCGAAUAACCAACUGUGAUGACGGUACCAGGAGAAUAAGGACCGGCUAACUAUGUGCCAGCAGCCGCGGUAAUACAUAGGGUCCAAGCAUUAAUCGGAAUUAUUGGGCGUAAAGAGUUCGUAGGUUGCUCUGUAAGUUGAAUGUGAAAGCCCCGGGCUUAACCUGGGAACUGCGUUCAAGACUAUGGAGCUAGAGUAUGUAAGAGGGGUGUAGAAUUCCUGGUGUAGCAGUGAAAUGCGUAGAUAUCAGGAGGAAUACCAGUUGCGAAGGCGGCACCCUGGGACAAUACUGACACUGAGGAACGAAAGCGUGGGGAGCAAACAGGAUUAGAUACCCUGGUAGUCCACGCCCUAAACGAUGUCAACUAGAAGUUAGGCCUUCAUUGGCUUGGCUUCUAAGCUAACGCGAUAAGUUGACCGCCUGGGAAGUACGGUCGCAAGACUA
RNAcentral lists this ribosomal RNA (548 nucleotides) under uncultured bacterium. Its description in RNAcentral is "bacterial SSU rRNA". It matches the Rfam family "Bacterial small subunit ribosomal RNA", at positions 355 to 896 of the family's 1533-position model. The record is from RNAcentral.